AGCUCCAAUAGCGUAUAUUAAAGUUGCUGCAGUUAAAAAGCUCGUAAUUGGAUUUGUGGCGCGACCGUCCGACGGAACUCCUUCAUUAAAACCGUUUGUCUGGUUUUUCGACCACUCCAUUCUCAAAUAAUGUGUCGCUAACAUUAAAUUGUCGGCUUCUUCACGCCCAUCGUUUACUGUGAAAAAAUUAAAGUGUUCAAAGCAGGCUUAGGCCAUUGGAUACAUUAGCAUGGAAUAAUGAGAUAGGGCCACGACGGUCUAUUUUGUUGGUUUGCACGUUGUGGUAAUGAUUAACAGGAACGGUUGGGGGUAUUCGUAUUCAAUUGUCAGAGGUGAAAUUCUUGGAUUUAUGGAAGACGAACUACUGCGAAAGCAUUUACCAAGGAUGUUUUCAUUAAUC
RNAcentral lists this ribosomal RNA (400 nucleotides) under phytoplankton environmental sample. RNAcentral describes it as "partial small subunit ribosomal RNA". It matches the Rfam family "Eukaryotic small subunit ribosomal RNA", at positions 587 to 978 of the family's 1831-position model. The record is from RNAcentral.